UGCCCAAGAGAUCGGGAUAACACCUGGAAACAGAUGCUAAUACCGGAUAACAACAGAUGAUGCCUAUCAACUGUUUAAAAGAUGGUUCUGCUAUCACUCUUGGAUGGACCUGCGGUGCAUUAGCUAGUUGGUAGGGUAACGGCCUACCAAGGCGAUGAUGCAUAGCCGAGUUGAGAGACUGAUCGGCCACAUUGGGACUGAGACACGGCCCAAACUCCUACGGGAGGCAGCAGAG
RNAcentral lists this ribosomal RNA (235 nucleotides) under uncultured Lactobacillus sp. RNAcentral's name for it is "partial 16S ribosomal RNA". It matches the Rfam family "Bacterial small subunit ribosomal RNA", at positions 127 to 354 of the family's 1533-position model. Lineage: Bacteria; Bacillati; Bacillota; Bacilli; Lactobacillales; Lactobacillaceae. The record is from RNAcentral.